UAGGGAAUCUUCCACAAUGGACGAAAGUCUGAUGGAGCAACGCCGCGUGAGUGAAGAAGGGUUUCGGCUCGUAGAACUCUGUUGUUAAAGAAGAACAUAUCUGAGAGUAACUGUUCAGGUAUUGACGGUAUUUAACCAGAAAGCCACGGCUAACUACGUGCCCG
This 164-nucleotide ribosomal RNA is filed under the name uncultured bacterium. RNAcentral's name for it is "partial 16S ribosomal RNA". It matches the Rfam family "Bacterial small subunit ribosomal RNA", at positions 355 to 511 of the family's 1533-position model. The record is from RNAcentral.